This 241-nucleotide long non-coding RNA is filed under the name Manihot esculenta (cassava). RNAcentral describes it as "long non-coding RNA (MESC_LNC009682)". The record is from RNAcentral. Lineage: Eukaryota; Viridiplantae; Streptophyta; Magnoliopsida; Malpighiales; Euphorbiaceae.
ACAGAACUUUCACCAUCGGAAUCUCUUUGUUCCUUAGCUGUCUGAUCUGUGUGUCCAGAAUCCACACUGGCUGCUCUAUGUAGGUGAGAUCUGUAAGAAUCUCCACCUCAGGCUCACUCAGAACCUGAUUUGGAUCUGACACAAACUGUCGUAGCAUAGAAACAUGAAAUACCGGGUGAAUUCUCUCCAUAGAAGCAAGUAAUUCCAGCUUAUACGAUACAUUUCCGAUCCUCUGCAACAC